GACGAACGCUGGCGGCGUGCCUAAUACAUGCAAGUCGAACGAGAGCGACCGGUGCUUGCACUGGUCAAUCUAGUGGCGAACGGGUGAGUAACACGUGGGUAACCUGCCCAUCAGAGGGGGAUAACAUUCGGAAACGGAUGCUAAAACCGCAUAGGUCUUCGAACCGCAUGGUUUGAAGAGGAAAAGAGGCGCAAGCUUCUGCUGAUGGAUGGACCCGCGGUGCAUUAGCUAGUUGGUGAGGUAACGGCUCACCAAGGCCGUGAUGCAUAGCCGACCUGAGAGGGUGAUCGGCCACAUUGGGACUGAGACACGGCCCAAACUCCUACGGGAGGCAGCAGUAGGGAAUCUUCCGCAAUGGACGCAAGUCUGACGGAGCAACGCCCGCGUGAGUGAAAGAAAGGUUUUUCGGGAUUCGUAAAAACUCUGUUGUUAG
Molecule: ribosomal RNA, 433 nt
Filed under: Granulicatella adiacens
Lineage: Bacteria; Bacillati; Bacillota; Bacilli; Lactobacillales; Carnobacteriaceae
Description: bacterial SSU rRNA
Rfam family: Bacterial small subunit ribosomal RNA
Source: RNAcentral